RNAcentral lists this small RNA (907 nucleotides) under Pan troglodytes (chimpanzee). Its description in RNAcentral is "retained intron". Lineage: Eukaryota; Metazoa; Chordata; Mammalia; Primates; Hominidae. The record is from RNAcentral.
UUGCAGUGAGCUGAGACUGCGCCACUGCACUCCAGCCUGGGUGACAGAGCGAGACUCUGUCUAAGAAAAAAAAAAGAAAAGAAGAAAGAAGAUGGCCUGGGAGCCCGCAAGAGCAUUUUCUAGGCUUAGGGCAUCCUUUGGGUCUGCAGAAGGCUAUGCAGUGUCCUCCUCAUGUCCCUCCCUUGGGCUGCCCGAGCAGAUCCGCCCGCCCCCAUCACUUCCUGAAGCCCUUCCUCAGCCAGUCCAGUUGCUGUCUUCUCUCCGCAGUGCCCCUUCCCUUCCCCGGGUCCCUCUUCUCUUGGGAAGUUCUUCUGCAGGUCUACCCAGUGCCUCUCCUUCCUCCAUGGGAAGCCAAGGGUCUCACCCAGACUGUUCUCUCCUCAGGACAAAAAAGCCAGAGACAUACUUGAUGCCCAAAGAUGGCAAGAGUACCGCAACAGACAUCACCGGCCCCAUCAUCCUGCAGACGUACCGCGCCAUUGCCGACUACGAGAAGACCUCGGGCUCCGAGAUGGCUCUGUCCACGGGGGACGUGGUGGAGGUCGUGGAGAAGAGCGAGAGCGGUCAGACCUCCCACCUUACGGGGCUCCUUCCCCUGGUGCUCAGGAACCCACAGCCACAAGCCCCCUGCCAAGGCUCAGGCAGCCUGGCCCCUGGGAGGACUCCGGCUCUGUUAGGGGCCCUAAAUGUCCUCCCCACACUGUGGGUCGCCUUCUCUCUUAGUGUGCACCCUGUGGUGGCUGUGGGCAUCUGUGCAUGGCAGGCCGGGGCGGGGCAUGUCUGUGUGUUCUGUCUGGAUGGGUAUGGGACCGUCUGUUCAUUAUGAAGUGGGCUCAGAGCUGUGAUUCUGUGAGCAUGUGUGCAUGCAUGCAUGUGACCUCAUUGUCCAGUGUGGUGAAGGUGACAU